This 275-nucleotide long non-coding RNA is filed under the name Triticum aestivum (bread wheat). RNAcentral's name for it is "long non-coding RNA (TAES_LNC016271)". Lineage: Eukaryota; Viridiplantae; Streptophyta; Magnoliopsida; Poales; Poaceae. The record is from RNAcentral.
ACCUCCUUCAGGUCAAUGGAUUUGGGGCCACCAUGUUUUUCGUAGAUAUGAUGCCUGCCAUAAUCAGAGAAACAAAAGGAAGAUUACAUCAGAACAACGCGUGACAGAUGAUGAUAUGUUUUCAUGGAAAGAAAAUCCAGACAUAUGGAAAGACUAUUUUCUGGACUUUUGAGACAAAGACUCAAUCCAGCUAGCUUUGUUGUGUGAAUAUAUUCUGUGCGACUGCUGACAUCACACAAUAACCAACAAGGAUAAUAAACAAAGUAAGAUGGUAA